UGUUUAAUUGGAAGUAACAUGUGCUAUAUGCCCAGAGCCAUAUUAGUUAAUCCACUGUGUGCCCUAUAUACACCUCAACCCAAGCCCUGUGCCUGGUUGGUAUUAUGAAUGGGACAACAUGG
RNAcentral lists this small nucleolar RNA (122 nucleotides) under Echinops telfairi (small Madagascar hedgehog). Its description in RNAcentral is "Small nucleolar RNA SNORA51 (ENSETEG00000024934.1)". The record is from RNAcentral. Lineage: Eukaryota; Metazoa; Chordata; Mammalia; Afrosoricida; Tenrecidae.